This 254-nucleotide ribosomal RNA is filed under the name uncultured bacterium. Its description in RNAcentral is "partial 16S ribosomal RNA". It matches the Rfam family "Bacterial small subunit ribosomal RNA", at positions 524 to 776 of the family's 1533-position model. The record is from RNAcentral.
UACGUAGGGCGCGAGCGUUGUCCGGAAUUAUUGGGCGUAAAGAGCUCGUAGGCGGCCUGUUGCGUCCGCUGUGAAAUCCCAGGGCUCAACCCUGGGCGUGCAGUGGAUACGGGCAGGCUCGAGUUCGGUAGGGGAGACGUGGAAUUCCUGGUGUAGCGGUGAAAUGCGCAGAUAUCAGGAGGAACACCGGUGGCGAAGGCGGGUCUCUGGGCCGAUACUGACGCUGAGGAGCGAAAGCGUGGGGAGCGAACAGG